This 468-nucleotide ribosomal RNA is filed under the name uncultured bacterium. Its description in RNAcentral is "partial 16S ribosomal RNA". It matches the Rfam family "Bacterial small subunit ribosomal RNA", at positions 28 to 507 of the family's 1533-position model. The record is from RNAcentral.
GACGAACGCUGGCGGCGUGCUUAACACAUGCAAGUCGAACGGAAAGGCCCUGCUUUUGUGGGGUGCUCGAGUGGCGAACGGGUGAGUAACACGUGAGUAACCUGCCCUUGACUUUGGGAUAACUUCAGGAAACUGGGGCUAAUACCGGAUAGGAGCUCCUGCUGCAUGGUGGGGGUUGGAAAGUUUCGGCGGUUGGGGAUGGACUCGCGGCUGAUCAGCUUGUUGGUGGGGUAGUGGCUGACCAAGGCUUUGACGGGUAGCCGGCCUGAGAGGGUGACCGGCCCCCUUGGGCCUGCGGUACGGCCCAGACUCCUACGGGAGGCAGCAGUGGGGAAUAUUGCACAGUGGGCGGACGCCUGAUGCAGCAGCGCCGCGUUCGGGAUGACGGCCUUCGCGUUGUAAACCGCUUUCGCCUGUGACGAAGCGUGAGUGACGGUAAUGGGUAAAGAAGCACCGGCUAACUACGUG